CCUCGGGGGAUGGCCUAUAGUACGGCGAGUGAGCGGCAAAAGCUCAAAUUUGAAAUCUGGCACCUUCGGUGUCCGAGUUGUAAUUUGAAGAAGGUAACUUUGGAGUUGGCUCUUGUCUAUGUUCCUUGGAACAGGACGUCACAGAGGGUGAGAAUCCCGUGCGAUGAGAUGCCCAAUUCUAUGUAAAGUGCUUUCGAAGAGUCGAGUUGUUUGGGAAUGCAGCUCUAAGUGGGUGGUAAAUUCCAUCUAAAGCUAAAUAUUGGCGAGAGACCGAUAGCGAACAAGUACAGUGAUGGAAAGAUGAAAAGAACUUUGAAAAGAGAGUGAAAAAGUACGUGAAAUUGUUGAAAGGGAAGGGCUUGAGAUCAGACUUGGUAUUUUGCGAUCCUUUCCUUCUUGGUUGGGUUCCUCGCAGCUUACUGGGCCAGCAUCGGUUUGGAUGGUAGGAUAAUGACUAAGGAAUGUGGCUCUACUUCGGUGGAGUGUUAUAGCCUUGGUUGAUACUGCCUGUCUAGACCGAGGACUGCGUCUUUUGACUAGGAUGUUGGCAUAAUGGAUCUUAAAGCCACCCCCUCUUGAAUACACGGGACCAAAAAAAAAAACCCCCCCCCCCAAAAAAAAACCAAAAAACCAUAAUUUUUUUUUUGAUAUUUGGCUAGCUUUUCGUUU
Molecule: ribosomal RNA, 669 nt
Filed under: Debaryomyces hansenii
Lineage: Eukaryota; Fungi; Ascomycota; Pichiomycetes; Serinales; Debaryomycetaceae
Description: partial large subunit ribosomal RNA
Rfam family: Eukaryotic large subunit ribosomal RNA (bases 1-587)
Source: RNAcentral